RNAcentral lists this transfer RNA (74 nucleotides) under Sphingobacteriales bacterium. RNAcentral describes it as "tRNA-Asn". It matches the Rfam family "tRNA". From Rfam's summary of the family: Transfer RNA (tRNA) molecules are approximately 80 nucleotides in length. Their secondary structure includes four short double-helical elements and three loops (D, anti-codon, and T loops). Lineage: Bacteria; Pseudomonadati; Bacteroidota; Sphingobacteriia; Sphingobacteriales. The record is from RNAcentral.
UCCCUGAUAGCUCAGUUGGUUAGAGCGAAUGACUGUUAAUCAUUAGGUCCCUGGUUCGAGUCCAGGUCGGGGAG